This 250-nucleotide ribosomal RNA is filed under the name uncultured prokaryote. Its description in RNAcentral is "partial 16S ribosomal RNA". It matches the Rfam family "Bacterial small subunit ribosomal RNA", at positions 524 to 773 of the family's 1533-position model. The record is from RNAcentral.
GACGUAGGGCGCGAGCGUUGUCCGGAUUUAUUGGGCGUAAAGGGCUCGUAGGCGGUUCGUCGCGUCUGCCGUGAAAGACUACAGCUUAACUGUGGUUUUGCGGUGGAUACGGGCGGGCUUGAGGCCAGUAGGGGAGAUCGGAAUUCUACGUGUAGCGGUGAAAUGCGCAGAUAUGUGGAGGAACACCGGUGGCGAAGGCGGAUCUCUGGGCUGGUUCUGACGCUGAGGAGCGAAAGCAUGGGGAGCGAAC